CUCUCUCUAUCGCUCCCCCUUCUGUCUGUUAAUGCCUGGUCUAAAUCCUUUUACCAUCACUUUCAAUCACUAUCUGAGCCUUUAUCUGCUGGAGCCGGAGCCCUGCUGCCUCGGCCGGGGCGGUGCAGCCUCCUCUGUCCGCUCCAAAGUGUUUCCCUUCGGGUCCGAUCAGUAACCUGCUCGACUUCAAGAACCAGCGAGGAAACAACACCGCAAUUGUCCUCGUGUGUCCAGAAGAAGACGGUCUUUGUAACCACCGAAAGUCAUCACCAACAUCAUCUCCUCACUGGUGCAGGAGCAGAUGUCCCUAAUCAUUCCGGAGCAAGUCAUGACGGUGCAGUUCACCCCACAGAGGUGAGGGAAAGACACACGGGCUUACAGGAAGGCUCCAUCAGACCAAACAGGGCCGCAUGCAAAAGGCAGAGGAAAUUAUGAAUGUCUGUACGAAGCACUGACAGCACAUCUGAAAUCAAUAACCUGUCCUUGGCGGGCCUCGCUGCUCUUUUUGAAUCACACAGACAUCUUUUUGAAUCUUUUUCUUUUUUUGCACUUUAAUCUUUUGUGUGCUGCUCUUUCACUUACACCCAUGUGAAAAGGACCGUUUUCUGGCGCAGUGUCGUAAACAGAAGUCUUUUACCACAGAAUCACAGACUGAAAUCGAUGCGUCGGGACCAAAAGAGAGUCCUGCUGCCGAAUUUGUCAUUUCCCGAGGCGGAAAACCCAACACGUCUCUGAAUUUCUCAUUUAGCCCGCGUUUGCCGCUCAAGGUUUGCAAGCUCCCGCCUCUUCAUCCUCGUGGAAGGGACUGAACGAUUAGAGGCAGAGGUUCAUUAGUGAUUCAGGGAUGGCCAGAGAGCGUCAGCCAUUGCGAAAACAUGACUUAGCGCGAUUAAGCCCCGAGCCUUUUAUCACACAAAUGGACGAGGCUUACGCGUUCGCACAAACCGCCAGAGUCAGAUUCAGCCCCUACAUUCACACUUUACCGUAUCCACUCGAAUGUGCGUCAAUAACCUUAUAGAAAUGUCACCCCUCAAAAUGAUGAAUGAGUGAUCUGGUGCUUUUACAAUCCAAUUAUGUCUAACUAAAUAACAGCAUCAAUAACAAUAGAACAGCCUGUCCUGGCUAAUAGACCUGCGCACACUCGUGCUGCUGCAUUCAUUUCCUGCAACAGUGUUGGUGACAUAACCAGGUUGGGUAAAAUUAGAGGCCCCUUAAAUCUGACUCGAUUGUAAUCUGUGAACGUUACAUAAGGUGGGGGGGAUUUCGGUGAAUGGUAAAUCCCUCCGCUCCGAUGCUGGAACGUCGUGUAUAGCGCCGUCAGUACGCAGCAGAAUCAAAAUGGCGAGACUUUUGCAGGCUCCCGC
RNAcentral lists this long non-coding RNA (1364 nucleotides) under Takifugu rubripes (torafugu). Its description in RNAcentral is "lncRNA (ENSTRUG00000027724.1)". The record is from RNAcentral. Lineage: Eukaryota; Metazoa; Chordata; Actinopteri; Tetraodontiformes; Tetraodontidae.